CCGUGCCCAAGAGAUCGGGAUAACACCUGGAAACAGAUGCUAAUACCGGAUAACAACAGAUGAUGCCUAUCAACUGUUUAAAAGAUGGUUCUGCUAUCACUCUUGGAUGGACCUGCGGUGCAUUAGCUAGUUGGUAGGGUAGCGGCCUACCAAGGCGAUGAUGCAUAGCCGAGUUGAGAGACUGAUCGGCCACAUUGGGACUGAGACACGGCCCAAACUCCUACGGGAGGCAGCAGCG
Molecule: ribosomal RNA, 238 nt
Filed under: uncultured Lactobacillus sp.
Lineage: Bacteria; Bacillati; Bacillota; Bacilli; Lactobacillales; Lactobacillaceae
Description: partial 16S ribosomal RNA
Rfam family: Bacterial small subunit ribosomal RNA
Source: RNAcentral